UGAAGCGGCAAAAGCUCAAAUUUGAAAUCUGGCGUCUUCGACGUCCGAGUUGUAAUUUGAAGAAGGCGACUUUGUAGCUGGUCCUUGUCUAUGUUCCUUGGAACAGGACGUCAUAGAGGGUGAGAAUCCCGUGUGGCGAGGAUCCCAGUUAUUUGUAAAGUGCUUUCGACGAGUCGAGUUGUUUGGGAAUGCAGCUCUAAGUGGGUGGUAAAUUCCAUCUAAAGCUAAAUAUUGGCGAGAGACCGAUAGCGAACAAGUACAGUGAUGGAAAGAUGAAAAGAACUUUGAAAAGAGAGUGAAAAAGUACGUGAAAUUGUUGAAAGGGAAGGGCAUUUGAUCAGACAUGGCGUUUGCUUCGGCUUUCGCUGGGCCAGCAUCAGUUUUAGCGGUUGGAUAAAUCCUCGGGAAUGUGGCUCUGCUUCGGUAGAGUGUUAUAGCCCGUGGGAAUACAGCCAGCUGGGACUGAGGAUUGCGACUUUUGUCAAGGAUGCUGGCGUAAUGGUUAAAUGCCGCCCGUCUUGAAACACGGACCAA
RNAcentral lists this ribosomal RNA (534 nucleotides) under Kluyveromyces marxianus. RNAcentral's name for it is "partial large subunit ribosomal RNA". It matches the Rfam family "Eukaryotic large subunit ribosomal RNA", at positions 94 to 669 of the family's 3401-position model. Lineage: Eukaryota; Fungi; Ascomycota; Saccharomycetes; Saccharomycetales; Saccharomycetaceae. The record is from RNAcentral.